UGGCUUGUGUCUCGGACCGGCGGUCGGAGUCUCGAACCGGUGGUUCGUGUCUCAGCCCGGCGGUAGGUGUCUCGACCCGGUGGUUUGUGAUUUUAUCCGACAAGUUCUCCGCUCGUUUAUGUUAGGAUCGGUUCAAAUCGGGUGAAGGCUCAGGUCACGUCCCGUGGUUCAAGUCCAGACAACAGUGGUUAAUCAACAAGCUUCGUUCGGGUCAACAAUAGUCAACAGUUUGGUUCGCUUCGGUCAGAUUCAGUUUCGGUUGACUCGGUCAAGCGGGUCAACUCAGCGAGUCGACUCGGUCAAACCGAGUCAACUCAGUCAAACCCGGUCAACAACAGUAAACGUCGGUCAACUCAGUCCAUGUUCGACGACUCGGCGAGAGUUGUGGUAAUGGUUUAAAGUCGUGAUUUCGUUACGUUAUCUUUAUAAUUUUGUUUACGCGUGACAAACGAGCUCUUGAACCGAAUGAUAAAAUCGUAUAUAUAGUUUGCGGUUUCAUAUAUUAUCUUGUCUUAUAACUUGAGUUAUUAUAAAUAUUUGUUUGAAAA
This is a long non-coding RNA of Helianthus annuus (common sunflower), 548 nucleotides long. RefSeq lists it as uncharacterized. The transcript has 2 exons. Lineage: Eukaryota; Viridiplantae; Streptophyta; Magnoliopsida; Asterales; Asteraceae. The record is from RefSeq and is a predicted model, not a curated record.